This 421-nucleotide unclassified non-coding RNA is filed under the name soil metagenome. RNAcentral's name for it is "partial contains 5.8S ribosomal RNA, internal transcribed spacer 2, and large subunit ribosomal RNA". The stretch from base 1 to 120 matches the Rfam family "5.8S ribosomal RNA", at positions 35 to 154 of the family's 154-position model. The record is from RNAcentral.
GAUGAAGAACGUAGCGAAAUGCGAUACGUAAUGUGAAUUGCAGAAUUCAGUGAAUCAUCGAAUCUUUGAACGCAUAUUGCGCUCUUUGGUAUUCCGAAGAGCAUGCUUGUUUGAGUAUCAGUCAACACCUCAACCUCUUCUUGAUUUUUCAAAAGGAGGGUGGACUUGAGCUAUCCCAACAACCUUUACCGGUCGGCGGGCGGCUUGAAAUGCAGGUGCAGCUGGACUUUUAUCUGAGCUAAAAGCAUAUCUAUUUAGUCCUCGUCAAACAGGAUUAUUACUUUUGCUGCAGCUAACAUAAAGGAUAAUUGUCCUCUUUGCUGACUGAUGCAGGAUUUUACGACACUUUAUGUGUUGUUCAACUCGAUCUCAAAUCAAGUAAGACUACCCGCUGAACUUAAGCAUAUCAAUAAGCGGAGGA